This is a long non-coding RNA of Xenopus laevis (African clawed frog), 400 nucleotides long. RefSeq lists it as uncharacterized. The transcript has 3 exons. Lineage: Eukaryota; Metazoa; Chordata; Amphibia; Anura; Pipidae. The record is from RefSeq and is a predicted model, not a curated record.
CGGUUUAACUAUUAGUGAGCGGCAAAUUCGAACAUGGGAAAGUGGUAAUGGGUUCUAGUGGCGGCUGCGGACUCUUGACAGGACCUGCAACUAAAUCCCCGAAGUUGCCAACUUGUAUUGCUCCUCUCUAUGCAACCUCUCAGUUGGUCUGGUUCCCUUAUUCAGCUAUUGACCAUCUCCGGCAGGCUCUGGGCGAGAAUGAAAGUAACCGGGACAAUCAGGCUAGGAAGUUGGAUGAAUAUUUUGAGAAGCUGAAGUAAGCCACCAACGACUACAAAAAGAAGCCGCUACGGUCGUAAAGCUGCUCAUUUAUAUACAGAUGGAAACCAGGCCCCCGUGUUUAUAAUUCAGAAUGUCAUUAGUUUUCUGUUUUGUACAAAAAAUAAAUAAAAAUAAACUA